AUACGGAGGGUCCAAGCGUUGUUCGGAAUCAUUGGGCGUAAAGCGGGUGUAGGCGGCAAGGUAAGUCGGGUGUGAAAUCCCAGGGCCCAACCCUGGAACUGCAUUCGAAACUGCCUAGCUAGAGUCGCGGAGAGGAUGGCGGAAUUCCCGGUGUAGGGGUGAAAUCCGUAGAUAUCGGGAGGAACACCAGUGGCGAAGGCGGCCAUCUGGACGGUGACUGACGCUGAGGUGCGAAAGCGUGGGGAGCAAACAGGAUUAGAAACCCCAGUAGUCC
Molecule: ribosomal RNA, 274 nt
Filed under: uncultured bacterium
Lineage: Bacteria
Description: partial 16S ribosomal RNA
Rfam family: Bacterial small subunit ribosomal RNA
Source: RNAcentral